Vespa velutina is the source of this 6054-nucleotide long non-coding RNA. RefSeq lists it as uncharacterized. The transcript is spliced from 2 exons. The record is from RefSeq and is a predicted model, not a curated record. NCBI's taxonomy places the organism in Eukaryota, Metazoa, Arthropoda, Insecta, Hymenoptera, Vespidae.
UAUAUAUAUAUAUAUAUAUAUAUAUAUAUAUAUAUAUAUAUAUAUACAAAUAACGGUGUCUCAUUGAAAGUCGAACACUUUAAUAGUUUCCGCUUGUCAAGUCCGAGUGACAUGACAUAGAUGUAGAUACUCGUUUUACAGUUAGAUCAAAUAUUUUUCAUUAUCAAUCGAUUACCAGGGGACAUAGGAAUAGACCAUUCGAAUAGAAGGAUUGGAAAUGGUUGUAAUAUGGAGAAUCGCGGUAUUUUAUUUUCAAAUCUGGAGUUUGACUUUGACUUAAAUGUGUAGACACUGGACAUGCGUAAUUUAUUUCAGAUAUGAUAAAGAUUGUUACGUAUGUGAUUCAUGUUCAAUGUAAAACCUACAAGUCAUUCUUUUCAUUGUUGAUUGGACUUAAAUGUAAACCAUCUAAUCAUCGUCGUGUACACAGAAUAGUACAUUCAACGUUAUGAUUAUUUUUUUUUUUUUCUAUUUUUCUUUGUACAUUAUUUGUUUUCAUCAUUUAUGUACUAAAUAUUAGUACUUAUAGAACAUAUUUAAUUGCAUUUUCAUUUUUUCAAAUCUUAAUUUUCGAAUAUUUUUAAUAUCGUUGCCAUAUUUUACGAUUUGUUUAAUUUUUCAAUUUGUUGGUUAUUUUGGAAACAUAAAGAUAAAAAAUGCAAUUCGUUGUUACAUAAUCUCUUAUCUUAUCACCGUUGCAUAUCGAUAUGAACAGUUAAAGAACAAAUAGUAUUUAUAAGGAUAUAUCACUCAACGAUAAUUAUAAUAAUAAGCAACAGUGAUACGAUACGAGGAUAUGCAACAAAUAGAUAGGCAUUUAAAGACUAGUAACAUUAUGUAAGUUAUUACUACUGUAAUAAUCCAUCUACUUAUUUAGUAAUAUUGUCCUCGGUGGCACCUAAACAACAGGUGAAAACAAAGUUUCGAAAAGAUGAAUCAUGGCAUUUCGGGCAGGUGUCCACUCUGCCGGCCUUAUCUGUGCUUGGUAACUUACUCAUCGGAUGUUUCUCGCUUUACGAUUUCAUUCACUAGACCGCAAAAGAGAAUUUCCUGCCAAUUCAUCUUUAUCUCAACGUCAUGGUUAAUAAGAGAGAAUAUAUAUAUGUUUUUAAAUCUGGCUCAAUGCCGUUUAGGAUAGAGUCUGCUCGUUAACUUUACGAGCAUGAUGAUGAAUUCUCGAGGAGUACGUUUCUGGAACGAAACGUACUCCUCUUUAAUCAUAGAGAUGCCAUCUAACAUGAAAACUCUGAAUCAUUACAAUUUGCUUGAUUUAAUCGAUAAAAAGGAUUGUAUAUCACCAUCUUUUUUCUUAAUAUUACGGGACUGUUAAUUACCUUUCACUCAAAGCGUAUGUAACUUCAGCGACAAAAUAUGAACUACAAGCGCAACCAAGGAACCAUGCAUCUAUAGUAUCUGAUGUAUAAGCUUGUGUUGCUUAUAUUAUAAUAAAUGGUUCAGUGUAGAUGGCUUAGUAGGUUAUGAACUUUUCAGUCCCUCAUAUCUUUUAUUGUGAUAGCAUACGUUUGAAUUGCGUCUGGUUGCAGUGAUCCGUGCUAGAUAUUGGUCCUGUUGCUCCUGAUAAUAUAUGAAAAUAUUAUAAAUUGGUGUUCUUCUGCGAUUAGAUCUUCUUUUUAUUUUUCAUCAAACAGUUCUAUAGCAAUUUCAAUCUUUUCUUCAUUUUUACUUUAAGAACUAUAAAUCUCCUUGUUGACGCACACGUGCGUCUCUCCAUUGUUCCCGAUACUUUCUCUUAAGGAUCAUAUAACAUCAUUGGAAACAGUUAUCCUUGGGAACCUAUCGACUAUUAGCUAAACAAAAUGCAUAGAUAAAAAGCACAUGGCCACCUUUGUCUGGGUUUAGGCAAUCAUUAGUAAAGUAUUUAGGUUUCGAUAAUAUGUCAACCCGGCCAAUAAAUAAACAGUAAAAGUAGAAGCUUAAGCUACUUCGGAUGAGGUUGUAAGGUGUUGUCUGGCGCCUAGCCUUGAAAUAUCCAUUGACAUCCUAUAAUCUUCAAGAGUAUUAGAACAAAGGGACACACAUGGAACAUCCCAAUGAAUUAUUCCCGGCCCAAUGGGCAUUUAUUCCUUCCCUUUUCAUAUGUCAAAUUUGGUCCUUUACCAAUCUCAUUUAAGUUCACGUGGAUAGUUCAAAAUGGACAGUCAAGUUAUAGCUUUUGGACUCACAACAUCUGAGGAGUCAAGGCACAUCUAAGCUCUCAAGCCUCUUUCAGUACAACUAACUGCACAUCAUAGACGAGAGACAGAAACAAUUGUAACUCAUCUGUUCAAAUACACGGUGAGAUUUACAUAGCGCGCAUCAUUUAAUAUCGCGCAUUUACUUCUCCAUUUUUUUUUAAACUUAUAUAAGGAAAAAUAUAAAAAGUGCUUUAAAAGGGAAAAUACGAUUAUAACUCUUACAAUCGGCGCGAAAUCAUUAUAAUCUAAAUAUAAAAAAAUCUAUAGUUGGGCGUAGGAAAAAAAUUUUAUUUAGUAAGUUUCAUCGGAUCUCGAGGUUCCAUCUUUCGAAUGAUAUUUUAAACAUAUUUUUGCAUUUACAUUCGAGCCAAUCCAACAGAAAAAUAUUUAUUUUACAUAUCGAAUCAUAGACUAUCUGAAGUAAUAAAUAUUUAUAUAUCAUAUAUAUAUAUAUAUAUAUCAUACAAUAUAGUAUAUAUUGCAAGAAUUAAUUUAUUGGAAAUUCCCCACUAUCGAUUAUUUAAAAAGUAUUUCAACGAAAACAAUCAUUACAUCUGAUAACUUUUAAUUAUCGCUUUAAGAUCUUUCUUGGCUAUUUUCCCGGUAGGUGUGUGCGGCAUUUUUUCUAAAAAUUUCACACCUCCUCGUAAAUAAUAGGAAUCCGUCAUAUUAUUUGCCACGAAUUUUUGAAACUCUUGUUCGGAUACCUGAACGUUGAACAAAAUGUAACAAAUAACUCUCGUGAGGUUUACGAUCUGAAAGUUUUUCUAUCAUACGUCGUACCUUCGAACCAGGAACUUUGGUAAUAAAAGCGAUAGGAUGCUCAUUGUCCUGAAGAUGAGGAAUACCAACAACAGCAACCUCAACAACAUCGGGAUGAGAUUGCAAAAGGUUCUCAAUUUUGGAUGGUAAGAUUUGAUAACCUCUGUACAUUAAUGUCUCCUUCAGUCUGUCGAUAAUGAAAAGUUCGCCGUUCUCGUCGUAAUACGCGAUAUCACCGGUAUGCAACCAUCCUGCCGUUACGUCGAUUAAUUAUAAUAAACGAUUAAACUUAAUAGAUAAUGCUUUUUUUUUAUCUCUUUUUGUUUUACCAUCAACAUCGAUCGUAUCUUUGGUCGCUUGUGGAUUAUUGUAAUAACCUUUGGUCAUUAUUGGUGAUUUUACCAACAUUUCACCUGUCUUAUUCGGACCCAAUGCAUUUCCGUUAGCUAAGUCGAUUAUUUUGAUUUGACCGUUAGCUGUUAUUGUUCCUAUGCUACCUGCCUUGUGAUGUGGCUUUUGUGCCGUUAUAAUGCCACAAAGUUCGGUCAUUCCUAAGAAAAUUUAAACAAUUCUAUUGACAGAUUUCGUUUAUGAAUUAUAAAAGACGGAUCAAAAGAUCCCACGUAUUUUCUUUCUCUUACCGAACAUUUGUAUGAUAUUUGCAUUUGGCAAACAUUCUUGAAACUUAAUUUGAUUUUUUUCUGCAAGUUUACUUCCAGCAAGAAUCACUUUUUUAACGCUCGAUAUGUCGUACUUCUCAAUAUAUCUUGAGCUUAAUAUUCUGUUCAUCAUACUAGGUGUCGUAAACAUCCAAGUAAUCUGUUGACGAUUCGUUAUUUAAUAUUAUUCUUAUAUUAAUGUUAAAUAAAAAAAUUAUAUUAAUUAUAUUAAAUACAGCAUCUGAAAAUAGGGAACGGAUCAUGCUUCUUUGUUACAGAUAAGAGAAACCCGUAAAUAUCUGUAAAACACAGAUUUCUCUAUAUUACAGUUCCGUACAAAUAUGAAUAGCACAUCAUAAGGAACCCAAAAUGGAUAAAGUAAUCUAUUACAAUAAUUCAUGACGCAACUCAACGUUAAUAAAAAUCCACUGAUCCAAGAAUAUCCUGACAUAUAUAAUGGAAUUUCUUCGACGUAAAAACCAUUAGGUAUAAUUAAAGUAUACAAAAGAGAGAAAUAGGAGAUUGUAAUUCCUUUAGGAAGACCAGUUGUGCCGGAUGAAUAAAGGAUUGCCGCUGUAUCGUGGAUAUUAUCGAUUCGCGCACAUUCAAAAUUCUCCACUUCGGACUUGCUAUAUUUUUCGAGUACUUUCGAGAAAGACAAGACAUUCUUAGAGGCUUUACCAAAGACGACGACCUUGAUAUUGUUAUUAUCGAGUUUUGCCGCUUCUAAUAUCGCCCUUAUCGAAUUUUCGUCCGCGAAAACAAUUUUUGCACCGGAUAAUUUCAUAAAGUAACGUGCCUCAUCUGAAAAUAAUCAUGUUAAGACGAAAUAUGUUUGAAUUGAAAAUUAAAGAAGGCUCACGUAUAUCCAUCGCGGGCUUCCAGGGAGUAAAGAUUGCUCCCACGCAGAAGGUAGCGAAGAAUGGUGCAAAACUAUCCAUAAUAUUGGGAGCGCAUAGGGCAACUACGUCAUUAGCCUUGAUUCUUUGUUGACGUAACCAAUGCGCACAUUUUACAGUCAGAUCAAACAUUUCGGCAAAAGUAUAUGUCUCUUCGGUGAUAACGUCUAUCUGUUAUUAUGAAUGACUUAUUGAUUUCAUUAAUAAACGAUGUAGAAAAAAUUAUUGUUAAUAAGACCUUUUCGAUAUUUGCUUAUCGAUAUGGCGAUAAAAAAAAAAAAAAGAAAAAAAAAAAGGAAUGAUUAAGAAGUAUAUUCUACGUCUUUGUAAACGACACGUGCAAAAAUGUGAAUCGUUGCGUUUCACUUCAGUAACAUUUUUCAAGAACGAUAUUGAAUACACACAAUUUUGUCACGAAUGUUCUCAUUCAUUAUAAAUUAUUUAUUGUCCUUCGUAAUAUUUUGUAGAACUAAUUGCACAUUACUGAAAUAGUGUGCGUGCAUGUAUAUCUGUACGUGUGUCUGUGUCUAUGCGAUUGUCUAUGCGAUUAUGACACUUUAUUUGAUUUUAGCUCUUAUGGAUUCUUACAUACCUGACCAACAAAGUCGGGUCUGGCCUUCAUUUUAUCCAAGAGUAAUUUUCCGACGUUCGUAUAUUCCGUGGAUAAAGGUUCAUCUUUGCCUUUCAAUAUAUUAUCCUUUAUAACAAAAUCGAUAUCACUCUGAAAUAAUUGAUUCAAUAAUUGAAAUAAUAAUGAUUCUUAGCUUACUAAACGGUGUUCUUUUCUUUUAACUAGACAUAUUUAAUGAUCAAAGAUUUUUCUUUAAAUUAGGAUAGCAUAGAAAAUGAAACGUAAUAGAAACAUUUUUCAUGAACGCUUACGUUUAUCAUUACGUUUAUCAAUUUAUUGAUCUCCAUGAUUAUAGAUUGUACGCUUUCCACCAGAUAUAUCUUCACUCAGCUAUGUUAUAAUAUUUUUAAACGAUCUAAAAGAUGAAAGGAACGAUGGACUUUUGAGAUUAGAUUGUAAUGACUUGACGAGAUAUGAGAUUUGACUGUUCACAAAAUCGGGCGUUUCUUUUUCUUUUUUUUUUUUUUUUUUUUAUUAAGAAUACGUCACGGUAACUGAAUUUAUAUUUUUGUCACUAAUCACUGCUAUCUACCAUUCGUAAAGAUCUAUAUAUACCUUUAAUUGUUAUUUUUUUAAAAACGAUAUAUCUUCCCACGACAAAGCUAUUUUUUUUCCGACACCUGUAAAUACAAAAAUGAAAAUUACGUGACAUGAAUCAUUAGUUAAUCUAAUUAUACUACUAAUGAAAGAAUGAGUUAUAUCUUUAAAGAAAUAUUUUGUUACGUCUAAAUGUCAGCGAGCCAAAUUUAUGAUAAAAAAAAAUCUAAAUUACAUAAAUAAUUUAAGAUGUAACAAACAUAUGUCGUGAAAAUUUUAUUUCAUAACAUGAAACUAUUCUAAUCUGUAAAUUUGAGAUACUCGUCAAGUUGUAAAUGUUGAAAUGCAAAUAAAUAUUUUUAUAUUUCGUA